CUUCCUGUUUUUUAAAGACAUGCUAAAAAUUUGAAGACAUUUGUUUAAAAAGGUAUGGAAACGUCAGCAUUUUCCUAAUGUUCCUCUGUCCUAAUUCAAUUGCUUUGAAACACAAGUUGCAUCAGCAGCUGGUACUUGGUUGCAGAUGUUGUUCUGAUUCUUACUAAGCUACAUGAGAGCUGAAGAAAUGGAAGCACUGGGUUGUGGGUUGUGUUUGUCCAUCACAUUUCACAGCAACUCAUCUUCUCCAUCAAAAUUAGCUCUGCCAGUUUUCUGCUUUUGAUUUAGACAGAAAAAAGCACGACAGUAUUCAAGCUCCUGCAACAGUCAAAGUCUGUUCAAUUUCCUUAUCUGAAAACUGCCAUUUUGGUUCAUGUGCCUGUGAAAUGAAGCUCUGUUUUCAUGUGUCCUUGUUCUGUGACCAAACUCCGUAAAUGAAAAAGAUUAAACACAACAGACGAGCUCACAACGUACUUCUACUGCACUGAUCCUGAAAAAAAAGUCAAGCUGUUAAAACUGUCUGAGCUACCAAAAGGAGUUGUGAGGAAGUAUGAGUGUUUCCAAAGAUAUUUGGAAAGAAUACGUGUUUAUAUAGUAAAUUAAUUUCAAACAAAAGCAAUUUAUCUUGUCUGAAAAUUUGCAUGGGUUUAAUGCAAUUGAAUUAGAAAAACAAGAACAGGAUGCUUGAAAAUUCUUACAUAUUUAAAAGCAGCACUAGACACUUUCUAUUUUAGAACAAGAUUUAAUUGCUUUCUGUAAAAUGCAUUGGCAGGACAGUCAUUUUCUCACCAGCAGGUAACAACAGUUCCAAAAAAUGUGGUUUCUCCAACGUAGCUGUAGGAACUGUUGCUACCUAGAAACUAACAUGGUCAUUAAUCAAAACAAAAAGAACAAACUGUUAUAAAAAACAACAAUUUUGCCAGGCAAGUACUUUGAGUCUGCCUAAAACAGAUGAUCAGAACAUACUAUUCAGUUCUUGGUUUAUUGUCUCCAUAAAAGCUUGGAAGAAUACGUCUGGUCCAGUAAUUUAUUUUUUUUCCAGGCACAAAUAUAAUGGACUUCUGUAAGUGGUUUCAGGGAUUUUUUUUGUGGACUUUUUUUGUCUGUUGAUUGUUUGGUUUGGGUUUUUUUUUUUUUUGGUUGGUUGGGUUUUUUAAUCUUUCUAGUUCUUGAAACAUUUUUACCUUAUUGUGUCUGGCUUAUUGCUGUGGUGGUUCAAGCACAUGCAUUGUCCACCUUGAUUGCAUUGGAAGUGCUGGAAAGGAGUGAACACCGAUGGGAAGUUUCACUGAGGGUGUUAUAAUCAAUAGAGGCUGUACAAAAAGGGAGUACAGGAAUUGAAUUAAUGGAAAAAUAAAGUGAAAUUCAGAUAUGUUAUGUAGAAAUUUCAGUCCAAGAAGCACUGGAUGAGGCUCCAGAGGCAGCAGGUGAAAGGAAUAGUCAGAGAAGCACUGGAAGGACAUCCCACCAGCAAAUAUGGAGAUCUGACCUAGGUACUUGUAUGUCUGUCAGUUUGUCUGUCCGAUGUAGACACAUAUCUCCAAUCAGAGUAAACUGGUUUAUGUAUUUUUUACUCAGAAGAAUAUUAUGAAGAAUAUAUUAUCUUCUCUGGUUGCUUCAUGUAAAUAGGCCAUUGUUGAGAUGGGACAGAAGGAAGGGGUGUAAAGCAAAUGUAUAUAAUUGCCAUUUCCACUCUCCCAUGGGCAGCAGUGUCUGUGUGAACUCAGAGUUUGGAAGUGCUCGGAAAAGUGUAGGUAAUCCUGUGCAUCACCAAGUACUCAUUCCCAGUGGGGUUCCCAUUUCUCCUCAUUCUAAGAAUUUCUGCAAGUCUAGGAAAUAAGCUGUAUUUCAUUACAGUUUAUAACUAGAUUUUUUUCAUCAUAAAGUUUAGAAGAUUAAGUAUUUCUGCAAUAAAAUUAAUCUUUGUUUAUACAUUCUAUUGCAUGUGCUAGUUUUUCUUAUCACAGGAAUUAACCUCUAGUACCAAAACUCACCAUAAACUGUAAAAAUUAAAGAGGACACUAAAAACAUAGUAUUAAAAAAGACAUAAAUCAAAUUAAAAUUAACAAUAAGUUUUCUAGUUGAGCUGUUUAUUGCCAUUCAUAUUAAAUUUUAUGGGAGAAUAAAAAUGUCUGUUAUUUCUGUGCAUCUGACCAUAAAAUUGCAAACUUACCCAUUAGUUAGAAUAAUGAUGUUCAAAGCAAACAUGCAUUCUGAAUGACCAAACCAUCUGAAAUUUAAAAAUAUUUGAAAUUAAUGACAUGGAAAACAAUAUAUUUAAAACAAAUCUAUACAAAGUUAAUAUAUUUCAAUGUAAGUAGGUUAGGCAUUAUCAAAUAUUAGAUUACAAAUUCUUAUCUGCAAUAAGAAAUCUCCAUUAGCAUCAUUUACAAGAAGCCUUUCACAGAAAUACACUACUCAGAGUAAUUAAAUCUCUUGAGUCACAAGUAUAGCAAGUAUCUGAAAAGUGAUACAAAAUCGCUGGCAGAAAAUUUGACAAUGACAAAAAAACCCCAAUAAAGUAGCAAUAAAUAAUGGUGCUAGGUAGGUCCUACAGCUCAGCUUCAGUGAGCAAGCAUGUUUACUGUAACAGUGCAGAUUAUGGUUUCUGCAGAAGAAGAAACCUUUAUGACUAAAUACUCAAGUUUGUAUAUUCAGUAGAAGUUUGCUGUUUUAGUUGUGUUGCUGUUCUAUGUGUCCUGAGUUUUUAUUUGAGUCUGGGAAUUUAAAAGCCUCAAAAAAAUUGAAAUAAGUCAGACUGGUUUUCACAUCAAAAUGUAAAAGGGGUGAGUUUCACAAGGUUGCAACAGGCAGCCAAAAUCGGAACUGUUGUUUCUAAGCCUGAUACCAAGGCAGUCGUAAGGAUCUGAAACCUGUGAUAUGAUUUGCACCAUAUCUACUGCUUUUUGAAACUAGAUAAGUUUUCAGUAAUCUUCUAUUUAUUAUGUGCUUUCUCUAAUUCUAAUAUUUAGCCUCUAAUCUUGCUCUUGUUAAAACAUCCUGUUGUUACAGAACUUCACUUUGUGAUGAUUCACCGCACCAAGGUGUCUUUCUGUUGAAUUAUGACAGUGUUGCUGAGUCUUCAUUCUUUAUUUCAUGACAUAUUUAAAGAUAAAUAGUUCAUACCUGAGAUGCAAAUUCUUUUAUGUGACUAAAAUACGUGAUAACCAGCUCAGACUAAUUCAUUUCUCUGUGACCUUAGGCAGGACAGUUCAGUUCUCUGUAGCUAACAUUCUUCUCUAUAAAAUGUGAAUGGUACCACUUCAUUUGUUAUCUAAAAAGAAAGCAACUGCAGAGCUUUUUGCCUCUAGCACUGUGAUAAUGCCAAUCUGAGAGGCAUUACUGUUCAUGAUCAAAGAAAUUAAAAAGUACUACAUGGGACUAAGCAAGUGCUCUGUACAAGUUGAAGACUUUGUGUGUUUUACACCUAGACACAAGCACUUCAACCUUUGAGUACUUACACAGAGAUUUGGGAGUUUGUUGUUUACUAGCUUAAGACAACCAAACAGUUGGUUUUCUGUUCAUUACUGAACCUGCCAUGUAAAGAGUUCAAUUUGUGAAUGGAUUGCAUUUGAUUUUCUUGGUGAGGGGAACAAAGAUCUCAGUCAAUAGGGUCUCUGGAGAGGUGCCUGUGAAGUCUAAAAUGCCUUUAGGAAAACUGCAAAAUCUCCAACCUGUCCAUUUCCACCACAUUGAGAAAUUCCACACCAGCAGCAGCAUGACUGGGCUGCAGCCAUCUGUAUGGAGUUUGUUUUCUGAGGUGUGAGCCUGAUGAAUAUUCUUCAUUUAACAGUGGUUUUUUAUGAUUUAACAUUGUUGUUUUAGUUAUCAAUAUUUACACCUUUCAGAAAAUUGAGUGUUGGUAAAUGCAAAAUAGGCACAAAUAUCUUUCAUGUCUCUAAGUGGGGAGAAUGAUAAAGGCCAUAAUUUGGUUUUAAUUUUUAUUGUCAUUGUCAGUCUUGUGUAUAAACCAUUUCUAACUGCCUUGCUCUAAGGGGUUGGAUUAAUAUUUUUUUUUUCUCUUCUAAACUACUCAGAAAUGCAGUUCAUUCUUUUUCUCAUUUUAUGACUUUUCUAUUUUUAUGACUUAAAAAAUUAUUUAUUUUUAUGAUAUCACUUACUGUGGUAUUAGACUUCCUCUAACCCACAGUUUAUCUCCAUCUUAUCUUGCAGACUCAUAGGAAAGUUCCUCCUCUCACAGGUACACUUCAUCUCACAUACAGAUACCUCCUUCCUGCUAAGCUGUUAUUAAACAACGUGUAGUUGUGCUUCUAUCCAUUUGAAAAUCACAAAGCACCAAAUACACUUAGAAUGUAUCAAUUAAUUUAACUCACAGUUUCUUCUGUAAAGGAUUGUAAUUGCUU
Molecule: long non-coding RNA, 4364 nt
Organism: Pseudopipra pipra
Lineage: Eukaryota; Metazoa; Chordata; Aves; Passeriformes; Pipridae
Exons: 3
Source: RefSeq, a predicted model, not a curated record